CUAAGUCUGCUAACCCUUAUUCGUCUUUCUAGAUUUCAGAUAUGAUACGAUUACGAGAGAGAGACCGAGAGGCGAUUGUGUAGACUUCAUACGAGAGAGACAGAGUCCUCAAGUUCCUGACUUCCUUCAAUCGAUCGAUCGACUCGCCUAGUCGCCUGACGUCUCAGUGUCUCACGUCUGUCACUUUGUGUAGCUUCUUCUUCCCUACAGGUAUCAAUCGACCACGCUGUUCACGCCGUCGCCGAUCUACCUUUUCCCUUCGUUUUCUCUUCGUUUUUCAGUCUUAAGUUCUUAACUAAGUGUCUAUGAGACUAUGACUCUAUGUGUUCUGCACUUUUGCUAGACUGCUAUGUUCUACCUCUUUGUUUUCAGUUUGUUUCUGCUAUAGUGCUAUGUUAUGGUUUUUUUAAAAAAAUUUAUGUUCUUAAUUUUUUUUUUUAAUCUAUGUGUUCUGCACUUAAUUUAUGUUCUACCUUUUUGUUGUGGCAAAAAUCUGUGCUUAGAUUGUGAUUUGUGAAUACUGAAUAGUGAAUAGAUAUGUGGACUGAAUUGGGAGUAUAACUGGAGGAUUCUAGACUUUCUAGUUAUUUUUGAUUUGUGAAGCAAAUUAUUUUUUUUUUAAAUUUGGGAUGGCACUUGGCAGUUGGCAGGGCAGUUUUGACCAGGUUAUUUGAGAACCAGAUUCUGCUUUAGUGCUACUGUGUUUGGUCGAAAUUUCAUAACUUGUGGACUUGUCACUUGUGGUGGGUAUUUGAUUGUAGCAUGUUUCUUCAAUUCAUGCUUGUGGUGGGUAUUUUAUUUUUUAUCAUGUUUCUUCAAUUCAUGCUUGUCAAAAUUAUUCAAAAUGAAAUGUGAUAUGACACUGCUAAGUGUUGAACUGCUCGUUUCUUAUUUUUUAUAUAUGUAAGACUUCAUCAUAUGCAGGAUGCAGGUAAAGUCAUCAACGCAGCCAAUUGUUGUGUUAUACUAUCUUUUUGUUAACAGAGAUCUUCUUGUAAUGUUGGUUCAUGUUGCCAUGUUGGUUCUAGUUGUAAUGUUACCUGAUUCAGGCAAAUGCAAUGUGUUUACAAAUGUAGAUCUUGUAAAUAAAUGUAAAUAACCCACUUAGAUAUGCAGAUGUGUUUACAAAUGUAGAUGGUUUGUUUACAAAUGCAGUGUUACCACUUACCAGGGG
This 1174-nucleotide long non-coding RNA is filed under the name Panax ginseng (ginseng). RNAcentral describes it as "long non-coding RNA (PGIN_LNC018837)". The record is from RNAcentral. Lineage: Eukaryota; Viridiplantae; Streptophyta; Magnoliopsida; Apiales; Araliaceae.